UAACAUCAUGUUAAUUUCUUUAGUAAUAGAUGAUGAUCUCACCGCAGGGAGAUGAAGUAGAGAGGAAGUGCUGCUGCAGAGGGAGUUUUUCUUGGAAUAUCAGUAGGAAAGGCAAGAAAACAGUACUGACUUAACCCCACAUAAGGAUGUAGUUUUUAAUUCUCACAGAAGGAUUUAUGUGCUGAUUGUCUGGGCUUUAUGGAGAGCCUUCACUGGAAAUGUCUCAGGUGGUUUUGAUUGAGCUGCAGGGAGAAGUAUUUUUUGUGCUGUCUUGAAUGGGAGGGUUUGUGUGGAAUCUUCUGACAGAUGCUACGCUCCUAGUCUGUGGGAGAUUAUUCUCUGUCAACAUACUGCUAUGUAAAGAGAAAACAUGUUUUCAGUUGUUUGGUUUUUUUAUUUUUUUAUUUUUUUUUCUGAUGCAGUAUUAGGAUUUGCAUGUGUUUGGUCUUUCGCUAUCACAGGCAGCACAUUUUUCUGUAAUGAUGCAGCAAAAAGCGUGUCUCCUUGAGAGCAGACAUGCGUUUUUGUGGGUUGAAAGAGCAAUUGUUUACUGAAAAGCAGUGCACAGAGCAGUGUAUACACAGAGCAGUUACUACAGGCAGUGGUACAAGAUGUCACAGUAGCAAUUCUGAGUUCAGCAUCAUUAAUGAGGAGUUAAACAGUCAGGUUACAUACAUUUUUUCAUUAUAAACCUUUAAUUAGAGGCAAAAAAAUAUUACAUUGAACUUUUGCUAUGGAAUGGCUGCAGUUACAAAAGAGAUAUUGAUUUAUGAAGCUACCCUGAACAAAACAUUAUUGAAGGUGCUAUAGAGCAUGUUCCAUUAAUAGCAUGUUUCAACUGAAAUAAAUGAAGUAGCACUGGAAUUCCCUUUGAAGGCAUUUUAUCUUUUUAUAUGGUAGAUUACUAUGGAUCACUUUUCAUAUGUUACUUAACCUGCUGAUUUACUCCCCCUUUUCUCUAAAAAGCUCUAAAACUGUUUUGCUCUGUUGAGGCAUUCAGUGAAAGAUCAUCACCUGAGAAAGAGUAUGAAUGAAUCUGGGAUCAAUUUGUAGGUCUGUUGGAUAGAACGCCUCAAGUUCCUGCAGUGCUCUGCAUAGAUAUUUAAGAUUUCCUAGAUUUUAAAGAGCUCUGUUGAACCAUUUGGGAGAGCUGAACAUUACUCAGAGUAAAGCAAAUUUUCAGUUGCAUUCAAAGCAAUAGGUAAAAGUCUGUAUAGACUAAAUGUUAGAUGCUGGGAAACAAACUAAGGCUUACUUCAAAAGAAUAUCUGAAAUGGUUACAAAGCUUGAGUGCAUGCAGACUGUAUGCUGAAGAUAGUUAUGAAAUUACUUAAUACACUUCUCUAGAAUUCAGUGGAAUAAUAAGGGAAUGUUAUCAGACUCUCUCCAUAAGGCUUUUGUAUGCAUAAAACAUUUACCAAAUAGUAGCAAAAGCGAGCAACUGGCUGUUUGUUGUGGUAAUAUGCUUAUUUCAUAGCUGUUCUUAUAGGAGUUCAUAAAGGCUUGAAGGUUCCUGGUACUGCUGUCAUUGCAUAGUCAGUGAGCUUUUGUCUUUCCACUUACCUUAUUUAUUGUUAACAGCACAAAAUAGAACAUAGUUGAAAUUAUGUAUAUGUGUGAUGUAUUUUGAUGGGGACACCUGCACAUCUUUUUAGUGCUUUCCAGAAGGAUGCCAGGAGUUUGUUCUGGUUCAGACCCUUUGUGUGCUCAGCAGAGGAAUGGAGACAGCUCCUUUGCAAUUCUCUUGUGACUGCACAGAUUCACCAUGUAAGAACAGCCUUUGCCUCAUUUUCUCCAACAGCAAAGCUGACCCUCAGCAUUAAAAACCAAAUGGAGCAAAUGAGCCAGCUUGAGAGAGAUGCUUCCUUUCCACGACUGCUGUGCUUGUUUGUACUCUGCUGCUUGCUGCUUUUGUGAAUGUGCACUUGCUUCUUUGGAUAUCUGUCAUUCAUUUCUAUCAUACUUUGAAGGGGGACGUGGAUGCUUCCUUCAUAUAAGUACUGUUCACUUUACUAUAUAAGUAGUGCUGGUUUACUACAAGAGCUGAGACUGGAUUUAGUGGGCCAUUUAGUGAAAAACAAAACAAAAAAAAAAAUCUGAAAAUCUAAAAUAACCUCCCCCCCCCCAAAAAAAAAAACAACAAACAAAACAAAACCAAAUAAUGAAACAAACAAACAAAAAACAACAACAACCAUAAAACUCACCAGCCUUCACAGCAAGAAAGACAUUGGGGCCCUGGAA
Non-coding RNA from Coturnix japonica (Japanese quail), 2241 nucleotides. Lineage: Eukaryota; Metazoa; Chordata; Aves; Galliformes; Phasianidae. The record is from RefSeq and is a predicted model, not a curated record.